Molecule: ribosomal RNA, 253 nt
Filed under: uncultured bacterium
Lineage: Bacteria
Description: partial 16S ribosomal RNA
Rfam family: Bacterial small subunit ribosomal RNA
Source: RNAcentral
UACGUAGGGUGCAAGCGUUGUCCGGAAUUAUUGGGCGUAAAGAGCUCGUAGGCGGCUUGUCGCGUCGGCUGUGAAAACCUGGGGCUCAACCCCGGGACUGCGUCCGAUACUUCCGAGCUGGAGGUAGGUAGGGGAGAUCGGAAUUCCUGGUGUAGCGGUGAAAUGCGCAGAUAUCAGGAGGAACACCGGUGGCGAAGGCGGAUCUCUGGGCCUUACCUGACGCUGAGGCGCGAAAGCUAGGGGAGCGAACAGG